This 131-nucleotide unclassified non-coding RNA is filed under the name uncultured fungus. RNAcentral describes it as "sequence contains ITS1". Lineage: Eukaryota; Fungi. The record is from RNAcentral.
GAGAUUGGCCUAACGGCCGUGUCUUCAUCCACACACACCGUGAACCGUUCUGGGAGCCCGCUAACCCCGGGCUGCCCGGACUACACACCAAAAACGAGGUGUAAAGAAUGUAAAAUUGUCGUAACAAAACA